GCCGAGGUGGCGGAAUUGGUAGACGCGCUGGACUCAAAAUCCAGUGUUAGAGAUAACGUGCGGGUUCGAUUCCCGCCCUCGGCACCA
RNAcentral lists this transfer RNA (87 nucleotides) under Limnobacter sp. RNAcentral's name for it is "tRNA-Leu". It matches the Rfam family "tRNA". From Rfam's summary of the family: Transfer RNA (tRNA) molecules are approximately 80 nucleotides in length. Their secondary structure includes four short double-helical elements and three loops (D, anti-codon, and T loops). Lineage: Bacteria; Pseudomonadati; Pseudomonadota; Betaproteobacteria; Burkholderiales; Burkholderiaceae. RNAcentral also lists the same sequence under 4 other names. The record is from RNAcentral.